This 32-nucleotide transfer RNA is filed under the name Radula pseudoscripta. RNAcentral's name for it is "partial tRNA-Gly". Lineage: Eukaryota; Viridiplantae; Streptophyta; Jungermanniopsida; Radulales; Radulaceae. The record is from RNAcentral.
UUUAGUGGUAAAAUUAGCCUUCCAAGCUAACG